CGAACCGGGGGAACUGAAACAUCUAAGUACCCCGAGGAAAAGAAAUCAACCGAGAUUCCGAAAGUAGCGGCGAGCGAAAUUGGACUAGCCCUUAAGCUUUACACGCGUUAGACGAACGGUCUGGAAAGUCCGACGAUACAGGGUGAUAGUCCCGUAGUUGACGACGUGUGUUCAGUGAAAUCGAGUAGGGCGGGACACGUGAUAUCCUGUCUGAAUAUGGGGGGACCAUCCUCCAAGGCUAAAUACUACUGACUGACCGAUAGUGAACCAGUACCGUGAGGGAAAGGCGAAAAGAACCCCUGUGAGGGGAGUGAAAUAGAACCUGAAACCGUGUACGUACAAGCAGUAGGAGCAGGCUUUGUCCUGUGACUGCGUACCUUUUGUAUAAUGGGUCAGCGACUUAUAUUCAGUGGCAAGGUUAACCAUCUAGGGGAGCCGUAGGGAAACCGAGUCUUAACUGGGCGUUCAGUCUCUGGAUAUAGACCCGAAACCAGGUGAUCUAGCCAUGGGCAGGUUGAAGGUUGAGUAACAUCAACUGGAGGACCGAACCGACUAAUGUUGAAAAAUUAGCGGAUGACUUGUGGCUAGGGGUGAAAGGCCAAUCAAACCUGGAGAUAGCUGGUUCUCCCCGAAAGCUAUUUAGGUAGCGCCUCGGACGAAUACUACUGGGGGUAGAGCACUGUUAAGGCUAGGGGGUCAUCCCGACUUACCAACCCUUUGCAAACUCCGAAUACCAGUAAGUACUAUCCGGGAGACACACGGCGGGUGCUAACGUCCGUCGUGGAGAGGGAAACAACCCAGACCGCCAGCUAAGGUCCCAAAUUACUACUAAGUGGGAAACGAUGUGGGAAGGCUCAGACAGCCAGGAUGUUGGCUUAGAAGCAGCCAUCAUUUAAAGAAAGCGUAAUAGCUCACUGGUCGAGUCGGCCUGCGCGGAAGAUGUAACGGGGCUAAGUAGUAAACCGAAGCUGCGGCAAUGUGCUUUUGCACAUUGGGUAGGGGAGCGUUCUGUAAGCGGUUGAAGGUGUGUGGUAACGCAUGCUGGACGUAUCAGAAGUGCGAAUGCUGACAUGAGUAACGAUAAAGGGGGUGAAAAACCUCCUCGCCGGAAGACCAAGGGUUCCUGUCCAACGUUAAUCGGGGCAGGGUAAGUCGACCCCUAAGGCGAGGCCGAAAGGCGUAGUCGAUGGGAAACGGGUUAAUAUUCCCGUACUUCUUACAAUUGCGAUGGGGGGACGGAGAAGGCUAGGUGGGCCUGGCGACGGUUGUCCAGGUUCAAGUGCGUAGGCUUAAGAGUUAGGUAAAUCCGGCUCUUUUUAAG
RNAcentral lists this ribosomal RNA (1321 nucleotides) under Vibrio parahaemolyticus. Its description in RNAcentral is "partial 23S ribosomal RNA". It matches the Rfam family "Bacterial large subunit ribosomal RNA", at positions 180 to 1555 of the family's 2925-position model. The record is from RNAcentral. Lineage: Bacteria; Pseudomonadati; Pseudomonadota; Gammaproteobacteria; Vibrionales; Vibrionaceae.